AAACCAUUACUAAGUUAGACUUGGCCUCCUGCCAUGAUCUAGCUUCAAGUAAUGGGAACCUGCAUUAAAACAAGUCAAGAACCAAUCCCUAGUUAACCAUAUAUACGCCUGAGUUCAGUACUCAUGUAGUGUUAGACACUUAGACUAUGCAAGUAUCAUUAGCCGAUCGACCAACAAUCAGAGAAGAACAUGAUCGGCCAACCAAUGAUACCGCAUAGCUUUAAUAUCCACCACCCUUCACAAGCAAUCACUCAAACACCGUCAGCAGAAGGGCGGAGGUGAUCCAAUCCCUUGGUUUUGUUGUUGUUGUGGAAGUACUCCUUCAUUCUCUCUAUAUAGUGAGCUUGAGGGUUGUUCUUCUCCAAACAUAGCUCCAUUAGGUCUGUGUAAUUCUCCAUUGCAUCGAGAGAAUCGUCAAUGAGUAGCUGAGGUCGAGGUUUUGGAUAGUCGCUGGUGAUUCAGACCUUGAAGCGGCAUUGUUUGAGGUUGUGUGAUGUUGUUUGAUCACAGUUUAACCAUGGAUUGGUUGAGGAGUUUCUUUUGUUUUUCAGUUGCCAUAGAGGAGAAUGUUACUAUACUCGCACAUCUAUAUAAUGUGAUUCGUUAUUGAUGACAAAAUAUUUUGUUAACCGAACCAAUAUAUAAGCAAAAUAGUUAUUGUAGUCGACAAUAUAGGAGGUGAUUUAGCUAUGAUGCCAAAAUGUUAUUUAGAUAUACCUAUUACAUAAUUUUUUAGGGAAAAUCCAUUUUUAAAUAUGAAACUUGAAAAGAAAUUAUGAAUUCUAUUUUAAUAAAAUAGAUUAGAUAUCUUUUAUCUUUACCUAUAAUUUCUACAUCACAACAUAUAUAAUCAACAUAGCGUAACAAAACCUUGCAUGAAAAAAAAAUAUGGAAAAGUAAAUAUAAGAAACAAAGAUUUUAGACAUAAGUAUCCCACAUCGGGAAUUUUAAGAGACAUUAAAUAAUAUAUAAAUGGUUAAAGUCAAUCCACUAAUUCUUAAUUGGUUUUAAGUUGGAAGCCAUAAAACUUAUCAUGAUAUCAGAGCGGGUCUAAUAUCCUGACCCAUUAAUCCGGCCCGAAAAGUGGCCCGGUCAUCCCACGAAUUGAUGGCCCAAUGAAAAGCUCAAUUUCUUCGAGAUAGCUAGAAAAGAGCAUUAUCUCGGAGGGGUAUUGUAGCACCCCCGAAUCGUCCUAGACAUAAGUCGACCCAGCCAACAAUCAAACAAGAACAUGACCGAUACACGACCCACACCAAGGGUUGGAGAUGAAAGGCCAACCGGCCAGCCAACAAUCAAACAAGAACAUGACAUACCGCCCAACCCAACACCAUGGUCCGGAAGCGCUACGUGACGGGUUAGGGACGAUCCGGUUAGAGUCACAAAAUUUACUCCACGACCUAGAUCCGUUCAUCCACUAACUCGUCCCGCUGCGUCAAGGCACAAGGCUUUGCAACCCGUACCUAGAGUUAGCGUUUUUCGUUAGAUCGAGGCCUAAAGCUUUUCAACCAGUACCACAACCUAACGUUGUGUUAGACCGGACUAGUCAAAUAUCAGAGUACUCAUGAAUCGCAUAUAAAACAAUUACUUUUAUUGAUUUAGGAAAUAUUCAUACAUGGAAUAAUUCAAGACUGGGCCCGGUCUAAUGCCAAAUCGAGUCAACUAAACCAUAAAAGGCUUUGCAACCCGUACCUAGAGUUAGCGUUUUUCGUUAGAUCGAGGCCUAAAGCUUUUCAACCAGUACCACAACCUAACGUUGUGUUAGACCGGACUAGUCAAAUAUCAGAGUACUCAUGAAUCGCAUAUAAAACAAUUACUUUUAUUGAUUUAGGAAAUAUUCAUACAUGGAAUAAUUCAAGACUGGGCCCGGUCUAAUGCCAAAUCGAGUCAACUAAACCAUAACACAAUACCGUUUAUAAAAGGCAUGAAAAUCUACACCGGCGGUCCUAACGUCUAGCACCAAGCUAUCCGAUCAUCCUUACCUAAAGCGACCUGCAAAAAGGACAACAGAGUUAGAUGAAUAAUCUAGUAUUACACAGUGAGCUGGCGGCCUCUACUCGCAACCUAGACUCUAACCCAGACAACCCAAAAUAACAAUCAAUCUAGCCCUAGCAUGCAAUAUAAACUAAGGCUAAGCAAACCAUUACUAAGUUAGACUUGGCCUCCUGCCAUGAUCUAGCUUCAAGUAAUGGGAACCUGCAUUAAAACAAGUCAAGAACCAAUCCCUAGUUAACCAUAUAUACGCCUGAGUUCAGUACUCAUGUAGUGUUAGACACUUAGACUAUGCAAGUAUCAUUAGCCGAUCGACCAACAAUCAGAGAAGAACAUGAUCGGCCAACCAAUGAUACCGCAUAGCUUUAAUAUCCACCACCCUUCACAAGCAAUCACUCAAACAUAUACAUGCCAAUAUCAGGCCUAGCAUGGGCAGGUUACGCACAUACUGUCGGCAACACUCACACAACACAAACUCAAUCUAGAACCUAACCUAAGGCUAAAGUUCCAGAUCCUAACUAGACACUCGACUCUACAAGAGUAACCAAUAGUACCAGUAUUCCGGCCUAUAUGGCCUAAGACCAUUGACACCAACAAUUAAACAAUAAUAUUAAUACUAAACAACUCAAUCAAACCGUUACCCAGAUAGUUCAGCCUCCUGCUAUGAAAUUAUCUUUAAAGAUAACGGGAACCUGCACUCAACCAUAUCAAUACACAAGAAUAGAAAACAU
RNAcentral lists this long non-coding RNA (2720 nucleotides) under Brassica napus (rape). RNAcentral describes it as "long non-coding RNA (BNAP_LNC026161)". The record is from RNAcentral. Lineage: Eukaryota; Viridiplantae; Streptophyta; Magnoliopsida; Brassicales; Brassicaceae.